Molecule: long non-coding RNA, 703 nt
Organism: Cyprinus carpio (common carp)
Lineage: Eukaryota; Metazoa; Chordata; Actinopteri; Cypriniformes; Cyprinidae
Source: Ensembl
GCCUUAUUUAUCAACUCAUCUGUCAGUUUGAAAUAUAUUCUGGCCAUAAUCAAUGUUUAGUAAAACACUGUUUUCAACAAACUGCUGUUGUCUAAAGUGCGCCUCACUACAAGAGCAAAAUAUCAAGACAUUUCCACAUUGAUCCUGCUGUAAUCAAUCCUCAGCCAGAGCAUCACAUAUUAACUUCUCAGAGGGGUUUUAUUUUUAAAUAGGCCAACAUGACAGUGGGCAGACUGACAGGUGGUACGCCUGCAAGCUUGACGCUGAUGGAGAGCCACAGACGAUGGUCAGGCAGGUGACAAGUUCAGUCCUACUGUCAGCACUUAGGAUUUCCCCAUAGGCACACAAAUUCUGACAGCAGCUGCAGAGAGAAGAGAGACGCACACACAAACGUGCACACAUUUUGAUAUACUCUUGUAUGGAAGUGCGAUUUCAUAAAAUUUUUACAUCUUCUUUCAUUUUACCAAUUUCUAGGUUCACCUUCCGGAGGCGACUUGGUGUGUUUACGUACAUCUAUUGCAUUGCUCAUCAGUUUCAACCGUUUAUUGAGGUGUUACCUCAUGCAUUGUGUUUCAUAUCGUUUUGCAAGUCUUUGAGUUUCAUCCUUUCAGCAGACUUAUCACAUGUCCUCACCCUUAACUGAUCCAACCAAACAAGAUUCAGCAGGUGGAUUGGAAACAACAUGAGCCACCCAGGAAAAAUC